GUUAAACGAGAAGACUUUAGAUAUGAUCCAGAGUACCACGGGACACGUGAAACCCUGUGGGAAGCAGGAGGGACCACCCUCCAAGGCUAAAUACUACCUAGUGACCGAUAGCGUAUAGUACCGUGCGGGAAAGGUGAAAAGAACCCCGGGAGGGGAGUGAAAUAGAACCUGAAACCCUGCACUUACAAGCUGUGGAAGCACAUUUCUUGUGUGACCGCGUACUUUUUGUAGAACGGGCCAACGAGUUACGUUAAGUAGCAAGGUUAAGCACUUAAGGUG
This 279-nucleotide ribosomal RNA is filed under the name Clostridioides difficile. RNAcentral's name for it is "partial 23S ribosomal RNA". It matches the Rfam family "Bacterial large subunit ribosomal RNA", at positions 380 to 660 of the family's 2925-position model. Lineage: Bacteria; Bacillati; Bacillota; Clostridia; Peptostreptococcales; Peptostreptococcaceae. The record is from RNAcentral.